GGGAGUCAGACUGCACGAGAUAAGUUGGGUAGUCGAAAGGGAAAGAGCCCAGACCUACAGCUAAGGCCCCAAAAUGUAUGUUAAGUGGAAAAGGAUGUGGGAUUUCAAAGACAACUAGGAUGUUGGCUUAGAAGCAGCCAUACAUUCAAAGAGUGCGUAAUAGCUCACUAGUCGAGAGGUCCUGCGCCGAAAAUGUCCGGGGCUGAAACAUACUGCCGAAGCUUAGGAAUCAGAAAUGAUUGGUAGAGGAGCAUUGGAUACUGGAGGAAGCAGUACUGAAAAGAGCUGUGGACGGUAUCGAAGAGAGAAUGCCGGAAUGAGUAGCGAGAGGAAGGUGAGAAUCCUUCCGGCCGAAUAUCCAAGGUUUCCAGGGUAAAGCUGAUCUGCCCUGGGGAAGUCGGGACCUAAGCCGAGGCCGAGAGGCGUAGGCGAUGGACAACAGGUUGAGAUUCCUGUACUGGUUUGAUUUGUUUGAACGAUGGAGGGACGCAGGAGGCUAGAGAUGCGUGCUGUUGGAUAUGCACGUCCAAGCAACAAGUCUGAUGAUGAGUCAAAUGCUUAUCGUCUUAAGGACAAGUUGUGACGGGGAGCGAAAUUAAAGUAGCGAAGUGAUCGAUGUCACACUGCCGAGAAAAGCUUCUAGUUAGAAUCAGACCACCCGUACCGCAAACCGACACAGGUAGUCGAGGCGAGUAGCCUAAGGUGAGCGAGAGAACUCUCGUUAAGGAACUCGGCAAAAUGACCCCGUAACUUCGGGAGAAGGGGUGCUGCACAAUGUGCAGCCGCAGUGAAUAGGCCCAGGCGACUGUUUAUCAAAAACACAGGUUUCUGCAAAAUCGUAAGAUGAAGUAUAGGGGCUGACGCCUGCCCGGUGCUGGAAGGUUAAGAGGAUGGGUUAGCGUAAGCGAAGCUCAGAAUUGAAGCCCCAGUAAACGGCGGCCGUAACUAUAACGGUCCUAAGGUAGCGAAAUUCCUUGUCGGGUAAGUUCCGACCCGCACGAAAGGCGUAACGAUCUGGGCACUGUCUCAACGAGAGACUCGGUGAAAUUAUAAUACCCGUGAAGAUGCGGGUUACCCGCGACAGGACGGAAAGACCCCAUGGAGCUUUACUGUAGCUUGAUAUUGGGUGUUUGUACAACUUGUACAGGAUAGGUAGGAGCCGUAGAAGUCGGAACGCUAGUUUCGAUCGAGGCGCUGGUGGGAUACUACCCUCGUUGUAUGAACACUCUAACCCUCGCCGCUUAUCGCGGCGGGAGACAGUGUCAGGUGGGCAGUUUGACUGGGGCGGUCGCCUCCUAAAAGGUAACGGAGGCGCCCAAAGGUUCCCUCAGAAUGGUUGGAAAUCAUUCGCAGAGUGUAAAGGCAUAAGGGAGCUUGACUGCGAGACCUACAAGUCGAGCAGGGACGAAAGUCGGGCUUAGUGAUCCGGUGGUUCCGCAUGGAAGGGCCAUCGCUCAACGGAUAAAAGCUACCCUGGGGAUAACAGGCUUAUCUCCCCCAAGAGUCCACAUCGACGGGGAGGUUUGGCACCUCGAUGUCGGCUCAUCGCAUCCUGGGGCUGUAGUCGGUCCCAAGGGUUGGGCUGUUCGCCCAUUAAAGCGGUACGCGAGCUGGGUUCAGAACGUCGUGAGACAGUUCGGUCCCUAUCCGUCGCGGGCGUAGGAAAUUUGAGAGGAUCUGUCCUUAGUACGAGAGGACCGGGAUGGACAUACCGCUGGUGUACCAGUUGUUCUGCCAAGGGCAUCGCUGGGUAGCUAUGUAUGGAUGAGAUAAACGCUGAAAGCAUCUAAGUGCGAAACUCACCUCGAGAUAAGAUUUCCCAUUCCUUUAUGGAAGUAAGACCCCUGAGAGAUGAUCAGGUAGAUAGGAUGGAAGUGGAAGUACGGCGACGUAUGGAGCGGACCAUUACUAAUCGGUCGAGGACUUAACCAA
Molecule: ribosomal RNA, 1932 nt
Filed under: mouse gut metagenome
Description: bacterial LSU rRNA
Rfam family: Bacterial large subunit ribosomal RNA
Source: RNAcentral